CCCCUAACGAUUAUAUCUAGUACUAUCCCCAAGGUUUGGAAGGAGGCCCAGGUACUCCCCCUAACGAUUAUAUCUAGUACUAUCCCCAAGGUUUGGAAGGAGGCCCAGGUACUCCCCUAACGAUUAUAUCUAGUACUAUCCCCAAGGUUUGGAAGGAGGCCCAGGUACUCCCCCUAAUGAUUAUAUCUAGUCCUAUCCCCAAGGUUUGGAAGGAGGCCCAGGUACUCCCCUAAUGAUUAUAUCUAGUACUAUCCCCAAGGUUUGGAAGGAGGCCCAGGUACUCCCCUAACCUGACGAUUAUAUCUAGUACUAUCCCCAAG
Molecule: long non-coding RNA, 320 nt
Organism: Oncorhynchus tshawytscha (Chinook salmon)
Lineage: Eukaryota; Metazoa; Chordata; Actinopteri; Salmoniformes; Salmonidae
Source: Ensembl